Molecule: ribosomal RNA, 468 nt
Filed under: uncultured bacterium
Lineage: Bacteria
Description: partial 16S ribosomal RNA
Rfam family: Bacterial small subunit ribosomal RNA
Source: RNAcentral
GACGAACGCUGGCGGCGUGCUUAACACAUGCAAGUCGAACGGAAAGGCCCUGCUUUUGUGGGGUGCUCGAGUGGCGAACGGGUGAGUAACACGUGAGUAACCUGCCCUUGACUUUGGGAUAACUUCAGGAAACUGGGGCUAAUACCGGAUAGGAGCUCCUGCUGCAUGGUGGGGGUUGGAAAGUUUCGGCGGUUGGGGAUGGACUCGCGGCUUAUCAGCUUGUUGGUGGGGUAGUGGCUUACCAAGGCUUUGACGGGUAGCCGGCCUGAGAGGGUGACCGGCCCCAUUGGGACUGAGAUACGGCCCAGACUCCUACGGGAGGCAGCAGUGGGGAAUAUUGCACAAUGGGCGGACGCCUGAUGCAGCAACGCCGCGUGCGGGAUGACGGCCUUCGGGUUGUAAACCGCUUUCGCCUGUGACGAAGCGUGAGUGACGGUAAUGGGUAAAGAAGCACCGGCUAACUACGUG